CCUACGGGAGGCAGCAGUGAGGAAUAUUGGUCAAUGGACGAGAGUCUGAACCAGCCAAGUAGCGUGAAGGAUGACUGCCCUAUGGGUUGUAAACUUCUUUUAUAUGGGAAUAAAAUGUUCCACGUGUGGGAUUUUGUAUGUACCAUAUGAAUAAGGAUCGGCUAACUCCGUGCCAGCAGCAGCGGUAAUACGGAGGAUCCGAGCGUUAUCCGGAUUUAUUGGGUUUAACGGGAGCGUAGGUGGAUUGUUAAGUCAGUUGUGAAAGUUUGCGGCUCAACCGUAAAAUUGCAGUUGAAACUGGCAGUCUUGAGUACAGUAGAGGUGGGCGGAAUUCGUGGUGUAGCGGUGAAAUGCUUAGAUAUCACGAAGAACUCCGAUUGCGAAGGCAGUUCACUGGACUGCAACUGACACUGAGGCUCGAAAGUGUGGGUAUCAAACAGGAUUAGAUACCCGUGUAGUC
Molecule: ribosomal RNA, 460 nt
Filed under: uncultured bacterium
Lineage: Bacteria
Description: partial 16S ribosomal RNA
Rfam family: Bacterial small subunit ribosomal RNA
Source: RNAcentral